RNAcentral lists this ribosomal RNA (502 nucleotides) under uncultured bacterium. Its description in RNAcentral is "partial 16S ribosomal RNA". It matches the Rfam family "Bacterial small subunit ribosomal RNA", at positions 30 to 523 of the family's 1533-position model. The record is from RNAcentral.
AUUGAACGCUGGCGGCAGGCUUAACACAUGCAAGUCGAGCGGGGUGAUGGUGCUUGCACUAUCACUUAGCGGCGGACGGGUGAGUAAUGCUUAGGAAUCUGCCUAUUAGUGGGGGACAACAUCUCGAAAGGGAUGCUAAUACCGCAUACGUCCUACGGGAGAAAGCAGGGGAUCACUUGUGACCUUGCGCUAAUAGAUGAGCCUAAGUCGGAUUAGCUAGUUGGUGGGGUAAAGGCCUACCAAGGCAACGAUCCAUAGCUGGUCUGAGAGGAUGACCAGCCACACUGGGACUGAGACACGGCCCAGACUCCUACGGGAGGCAGCAGCGGGGAAUAUUGGACAAUGGGGGCAACCCUGAUCCAGCGAUGCCGCGUGUGUGAAGAAGGCCCUAGGGUUGUAAAGCACUUUCAGUUGAGAGGAACGGUUUAUGGCUAAUAUCCAUAAGCUUUGACGUUACCAACAGAAGAAGCACCGGCUAACUCUGUGCCAGCCGCCGCAGUAA